AUGAACGCUGGCGGCGUGCCUAAUACAUGCAAGUCGAGCGAACGGACGAGAAGCUUGCUUCUCUGAUGUUAGCGGCGGACGGGUGUGUAACACGUGGAUAACCUACCUAUAAGACUGGGAUAACUUCGGGAAACCGGAGCUAAUACCGGAUAAUAUUUUGAACCGCAUGGUUCAAAAGUGAAAGACGGUCUUGCUGUCACUUAUAGAUGGAUCCGCGCUGCAUUAGCUAGUUGGUAAGGUAACGGCUUACCAAGGCAACGAUGCAUAGCCGACCUGAGAGGGUGAUCGGCCACACUGGAACUGAGACACGGUCCAGACUCCUACGGGAGGCAGCAGUAGGGAAUCUUCCGCAAUGGGCGAAAGCCUGACGGAGCAACGCCGCGUGAGUGAUGAAGGUCUUCGGAUCGUAAAACUCUGUUAUUAGGGAAGAACAUAUGUGUAAGUAACUGUGCACAUCUUGACGGUACCUAAUCAGAAAGCCACGGCUAACUACGUG
RNAcentral lists this ribosomal RNA (496 nucleotides) under uncultured bacterium. RNAcentral's name for it is "partial 16S ribosomal RNA". It matches the Rfam family "Bacterial small subunit ribosomal RNA", at positions 29 to 507 of the family's 1533-position model. The record is from RNAcentral.